This is a non-coding RNA of Pelobates cultripes (western spadefoot toad), 204 nucleotides long. Lineage: Eukaryota; Metazoa; Chordata; Amphibia; Anura; Pelobatidae. The record is from the annotation of a GenBank genome assembly.
GAACGCCCAAGCCGUCCUAUGUACUUACUCGGUUGCCUGACAGCCCAGGAAGUCCCCCUCCUUCUUUUCCGCCGCUCCGGGCCAUGUGACAUUUUCUAACUCAAGAUACAACUAAUACACUAAUAUUCAUGUACUCAUAAUUUCCAAACUUGACUAUUGCACUCAUUCCAUAUCGACAACUUCAGGUUAUAAUGGAUUCUGCUG